Non-coding RNA from Oryctolagus cuniculus (rabbit), 13966 nucleotides. The record is from RefSeq and is a predicted model, not a curated record. NCBI's taxonomy places the organism in Eukaryota, Metazoa, Chordata, Mammalia, Lagomorpha, Leporidae.
UUUUGCCGUGUCUCAGCCUCCACUCUGGAUCAUUGCCCUGUAAGCCUCAGAAAUGGCCAAGGAUGAGGACACCGAGCGACUUGUGGUUUGAAAGACUCCUACACUUUGUGGUUUCCCUGAUGGCUGUGCUGUGGUGUGCCCUCUCUUCCCACAAUUAACAAGCAGUAAACACAUUUUUUGAAGAAAAAAAGAAAUACAAGGGCUUCUUUGGCGGUAGUGGGGGGAGGGGAGAGGAAAGCUGUGCGACUCAGUGAGAACCAAGGCAAAGUCCCGUCAGUCCUGCUCCCGUCCUCUCCACACGCAGUCCCCCGAGGAAAGGAUGCCUCCCCGCCAACAGCAAGCAGGAGUGUCUGCCGUGGCAGUAAAGAGCGACACGCUGUUUGGGCAUCGGCCCAACUAUUUCAAAGCGUGCUCACUCUCUCAACACCGGUCCUUGGAGCAUGACAGACGCGUGAGCUCUGUUCUGAACGCUGAGUGCAGCCGGACUCCAGGCACCGUUUGCAGCAGUCCAUUCACGUCAGGGCCCCCCGGAACCUCGCCCUUCCCCAGACUGCCCUGUGCAAAACGUGAACCCCUGGGAGCUCCUCGGAGCCCUACGUGCUCCGGUUUCGGUUUGCUGAGCAUAGGGGCCAGAAAACAGGAAGAGCAAAUGUCUCUGACCGAGAACUCCCUGGGGACUUUGGAAGGAAGCUGGUGAUGUGGAGAAGCCCAGGCAUAGGCAGGGCACAGGGCCAGGAGCUGAGGCAGACUGGCCGGGUCCCAGGAGGAAGCGAGGCCUGCAGAGAGGUGAGGAAGCAACUCCAGGGCAGCAGCUCCAGAUGGAGGAUCUGCCACAGAAGCAGAGCCACGCUCAGAAGCUUGGUCACUCUGUCGUGGCUGGUUAUCCACAGCCCACACGAACCGCAGGAAGACGGGACAUGCAACUGGAAGUAGGGCUCACCUGUGAGCAGGAAAGCCUGCCUUCAACAGGCAUCACCUCUGCCGCCGACUCGACCUGCAAUUCGGAGCCUCGGGAACUGUGAGAAACGAAUUUCCAUUGUUGGUAAGCCAGCCCGCAUAAGGUGAGUUGAUGUAACAGCCUAAAUGGACUCAGCCAUUGUUUCUACCACACGUGGCUACUCUCAUUUUUGUAGAACCUGAGACCCCCUCACAGUCUUUUAAAAUCCCUCACCCUAGCCACCUCACCACACUUCCCAAAGUCAGAGCAAGGCAGAUCAAUGACGAGAGCUCGGUGAAUAGUGGGUUGCGUUCGUUUUCAGUACCCUCCCCCUUUAUUUAAACACUUACAGGUUGGACUAUAAAGUCUCAAAUCCCCGUGGUGAUAGCACAUAACAAGUGGUGCUGAAAGUUCAGAAGUAAUAAUAGUCUGGAUUAGCUGUACGUUUGCAAGCCAUCUAAAUGAGCCUGGGUCUGUGGUCAGGGCUUCUAUUUCUGCUUCCUUCAGUGGGUGCACCAAAGGUCAGACCCGUUCUUGUCUUAAUCCUUUAAAUCAACGUGCACCUGUCCACAGUGAAAGGAACACAUAAGUGUACGGACCUUUCAGAUUCAAAUAUGGUGGAGGGGAAGGUCCUGAGUGCCCUGGGGCUCUCACCCUUCCGGAGCUCAUCUAUCCCUGUCCUCACCUACUGAGAAGACAGCGGAGAACCAGGAUGUGCGGUUGUGUUUGUCUCCAAGAUGCUCAUGCGCACAAGGUUUUAGUUAACCGCAUCUGUAGGCUGAGUUCUUAUUUUGAGGUAUGGUUUCAUAACAACACCUGGCCAGUGUUCUGGACCAGACAAGACUGGAGCGAUGCACAGGCAUCCCCCAGACUCACAUUUUUUCCAGUACAGUCCUACCCAUGUGGACGUAUGCAAGACGUAUAUCGUUAUUUGAACACGGCCACUUCAUCCUAGGCAAACUUAGCAAACUGCUACUAAGUAAUUUCACAUAUUCCAAAAUUCAAUAAACAUCAUUAAUGGGGUCACUCUGAUUCUAGCCUUUGCUGCUUCCACUGAGAUCCCGGCUAGUGCUGCAUGUCUGUCUGCGUGAGUGGCUAGCACAGAACCACCGUCUGAUUUUGAGUUUGGGAGUUUUCAUUCAUUUGUCUAUACUUUCUCUUCAUCAUCAAGCAGGAGAGGUACCCCCAUGGAAAGUAUUUUGUAGGCUUUUUCAUUACUGCUACUGAUGUGCCUGCUCCCGACUGGGACUUUCACAUUGAUCUCUCCUUGAUGACCUGCCCAAGCUGCCUUAUAUAGGAAUGACCAAGGAUGUCUACUUAUUCAGUAGACGAUGGAACCGCUGAGCCAAAGCCAGCCCAAGGACGUUUACUUAUUAACGCAACCCUGGUGUCAUCCGAGACCCCAUCCUGUCCAUUUGUGUGCUAGGUUCGUGACCUCAUUGGUGCAUCCUUCUGUCUCUUAGGUCACACUUGUCAUGCACAGGUGAAUCCUUUUAAGUAAAAGAUCUGAAUUUGGCAUCAGACUCUGCUCUGCACUCUCAGUCAUGGCAGACUCUAUUGUCCUAAGCCCAGUGCAAAGGUUCAUUUUAUAUAUUGGGGUGGGUGUUGUGAUGCAGUGGGUUGAGCCACUGCUUAUGACCCUGCCAUCCCAUAUCAGAGAGAGCACCAGUUCAAGUCUCAGUUUCUCCCCUUCUAAUCCAGCUCCUUCUUAAUACACCUGGGAGAGAAGCAGGAGAUGUCCAAAGUACUUAGGUCCCUGCUACCCAUGGAGCAGACCAGGAUGGAGUUCUAGAUUCCUGGGUUCAGUCUGGCCCAGACCUGGCUGUUUCAGCAAUUCAGGGAAUGAAUUGGUGGAAGGAAGAUCUGGGUCUCUCUCCAUCUCUCUGUGUCAUUCUGCCUUUCAAAUAAAUAAGUAAAUGAAUAAAUAUAUCUAAAAAUAUUUCAUUUUAUGUGUCAGCUUGACUGUGCUAAGAGAUGCCCAGGGAGCUGCUAAAGCGUUGUUUCUGAAUUUGAGUUUUCCUGGGUGAGUGCACUUGAAUCACUAGACUGAGUGGAGAAGAUCCUCCCCCACCAGUGUGAGUAGGCAUCACCCAACCCAUUGAGGACUGAUGAGACCAACAGGGCAGGGGAAGAGUGAGUGUGCUCUCCCUCUGGAAGCCAGGGAUCAUCUACUCCUGCCCUCAGAAGUCAGAACCCCCGGGUCCCUGGCCUCCAGAACUGAGUUUAACAGCAGCAGCUCCUCCCAGAUCUGUAGGCUUUUGGAUUCUGAGUGACACCAGGGCUUUCCUGGUUCUCCAGGGUGGAGAUGACAUAUUGUGGGGCUUCUUGGUUUGCACGAUUGCAUGAGCCAAUUCCCGUGAUGAGACUCCUCCUCAGUCUGUAAAUCUUAGCCUCUUACUUCUUUUUCUCUGGAUAACCCUAACUCACCCGAUGUCCCAGCUAAGGAAAACUGGCUUCUCUACCAAAAAUGGAGUCUGCAAUCACCAGGCAGUUGAGAUGCAAAUAUAUGUAAUAUAAAACGAAAAAUGAUGCCUGUGUGUUAGAAUUAAAUGUUCGUAUAUGGAGGGGCUUUGCUCAUUCAUUUACUCAAACAGCAUGCAUUUGAUGAGAACUUGCGGGGAAGCCACUGAUGCCCCUCCCACAUCCCUGCAGAUCGCCUUGGUCCCUUGUGGCCCGGCCGCAGCUUCUGUAGGCUUUGCUGCUAUCCACUCACAGCCGUGCCCACGUUCAAAGAUUUGGCUGUGGCAAACGAGACUUCCUCGCCCAUGUAGAGAGCUGAGCUCCUGAAGCCCUCUCUGGCCUCUGCUGCUUUCGACUGAGUGGUGUUGUAGGGCCUGCUCUGCGCUCCCUCGGCAGUCCUGCAUCGUGUGCGCUCGGUGUGGACAUGAUGUGAACUUGGGGUUUACAUUGUGCCCCAAGGAAAGCCAUCCAGAUGGGCGCCUCCCAUGUGCCAGGCACUGUGAUUGUGAAUGAGUGGAGCAGACCACUGUGAACAGACUAAUAACCAACCUAAAGCCUGGAUUUUAGAUUGUCGUUAGGCAUAGUAGCUCUCUAUUUAACUGUGUGGCAUGCCAGGGUCCUGGAAGGGUAGAGAUGGCUUGCUGAGAUGAGGCGCUGAGAAAACAGAUUUGUAAAGGGAUUGUGAAUGCAGAUGUGUAUGCAAGGAAGUAGGGAAAGCGUGAAGAGUAGUGCAAUAUCCCAGAGCUUCUAAAAGUAGCCUAAAAGACUCAUGGAGGUACGUUGAAAUUUUAAGGAAUUUAUGUGGGCAACCAACAAUUCACAAAUUGAAAAGCACCAGGCCUCAAACAGUUAAGCACCCCGCUGGGAGACUAGCAUAAGAAACUUGGGGAAGAUGUUUGAGUAGCAAGAUCGAGUAUUUUUGGUGGGUUGCAGUGUAAAGUCCCUACGUGGAGGUUAGUUGAAAGAUCCUGAUUGGGUACAUGUAAGUUUAGACUUACUGCUUGCAUUGAGUUGGGUUUGGGUUUGCUCACAUGGAAACCCAAGGCGCUGCAGCCAUUUCAGCCUACAGACACCCGCCCCAGUGAAUGAUGUUAAUAAAUGGGGAACUCCUCCAGAGAGACGAGUCGCUUGGCUGAAGUUGUGGCCCCUCUCAAAGGACAGAAUCAGACUAAGGGGACCACAGGGAAUCCAGGGAGAAGGGCAAAUGUGUGCCUGGAUGGUUAAUGAGCUUGUCAGCACAUACAGUAUGGCAUUGUCAGAAUUGCUUGAAACUACUUUUAUGGGCCAUCUACUGACAGCUCAUGGAACACGGAGCUUGAGAAACACUGUAGUGCCAUAAACACCACGGCACUAUUUGAGGAUUAUCCCCUUAAGAAACACAAUGUCUCUAUCUACAGAACGUUCCUGCUUCAUAUAUCCCCCUUCCCGCUUCUCUCUCCAAGUUAUUGAAGUCAUGGGCCUACUGCCAAGCAAUAAAACCAAAAACCUUAAAAAAUGAUCACUCUUGAUCUCACACUUGCAUAUGGAAUCUAAAAAGCUUGAACUCAUAGAAGCAGGGGGUAGAGUGGUGGUUACCAGGGUUCAUGGGGAGGAUGUUGGUCAGACGGCGCAGUUUCAUUAGGAAGAGAAAGUACUGGAAAAUCUACAGCAUAAUAUGGCAAAUAUGUCUAGUAAUAGCGUAAUGUAUACUUAAAAUUGCUAGGACACAAGAUCUGAAACAUUCUCACCACAAAAUGAGUGUGUAAGGUGAUGGUCAUGUUGGCUCGAUUUAUUUAUGUCACAAUGUAUGGAUGUCAAAAUAUCACGUUGUACACGGCAAAUAUCUCGUGUUUUCAUUUGUCAAGAGUCAAUCUGUAAAUAAAGAACUUCUCAGGAGAAAAAAAAAGAUCUAGCUCCUAGCUCCCAUCAUCCUGGUCUUAAAUCAAUUACCUUCUUCUCCACAUGUGACAUGUAACAUGCCCGCCCCCCCAACCUGGUAUUCUUGUUCUCGAGUGUAGACUCACCUUGUGUUUCCUCAGUAGAGUUUCUGUUCCCACCUCGAGUCUGGUUCAGCCUCUCCCUGCGCCCUGCCCUGGACAGCAGCAUCAGCUAAACCUUUUCGUUGUCUUUUCCGUAGGCAGGGCGCUGCCGUCCCCACCACUAGGGGGCAGUGCUUCGGGAAGCCGGUUGGACACCUGGCUUGGUGGGCAGAGGAGGGCGCCGGCUGGGCGUUCAGUGGGGGUUCUGUGCACCCCGUGCGGACUUCCGAGGCCACAGCCGAUUUCUCGAAGGAACCUCCUGAGUCUUGAGAAAAUGGUCAGUGACGCCCACUGCGCUCAGUUCAAGAAGGUGGCGGAGAAUGCUGCGCACCUUUUUGGUGUUCAUCUUGGGGCUGGCGAUUGGCACAACAGCCAUUAUGCCGGCAUCCCAUACUGGAGCGCCUGGGUGGGAGCCCUGGCUUCCCUCCGGAGUCCACCGCCCUGCUAAUGUGCACCAUGAGGGGCAGCAGGAGAUGGCCUCAGGUACUUGGGGCUCUGUCACCCAUGCAGGAGACCCCAGAUGACCUUACAGACUUGUGGCCUGCUGUAGGCAUUUGGGGGAGUGAACCCACAGGUGUAAGAUCAGUCUCACACUCCUGUGUCUGCCUUUCAGCCUGUCAAAUAAAGGAAUUGAUAGUAAUGGAUGACACCUGCUUCCACCAGCAGCCAGGCACCAAUCUGAAUUCCCCACCUGGCUUCCUUUGAUCCUCACCGUAUCCUACACAGCAGGAAUUGUGCGUAUCAUUUUACAGGACAGGAAAGUGCGGGCGGUGAAGUGAAGUCAGGUGCUCACCUGCCUCACUGUGAGUGUGUGAGCGAAUCACACUGGAAGCAGGGCCAGCUGCUAGUGGAAUGCUUUGACUUCCAUCUUCCACUUGCAAAACCUAACAAAAGUUCUAGUGGUUCAUGGGUUACACUGUCAGCUGUCUGUGUGCACUGGCCAAGUCUGACAAUGGAGACAAUAUUGUAAUUUUUUUUUGACAGGCAGAGUGGACAGAGAGAGAGAAAGGUCUUCCUUUUGCCGUUGGUUCACCCUCCAAUGGCCGCCGUGGCUGGUGUGCUGCGGCCAGCGCAUCACGCUGAUCUGAAGGCAGGAGCCAGGUGCUUCUCCUGAUCUCCCAUGCAGAUGCAGGGCCCAAGCACUUGGGCCAUCCUCCACUGCACUCCCGGGCCACAGCAGAGAAGAGGGGCAACCAGGACAGAAUCCAGCACCCCAACCGGGACUAGAACCUGGUGUGCUGGCGCCAGAGGCGCAGGAUUAACCUAUUGAGCCACAGCGCCGGCCAAUAUUGUGUUUUAAACCUGGCUGAUUGAGAGGCAGUGUUCCAAUGUAACAGGAUAAACAGGACAGUAAAAAAGUCUUUCCCAGAGUGAUGAUCUCUGAAUGGUAGAAUUGAUAUGGGAUAAGUAUGCAAGGAGUUAGUUUGGGCCUGGUCACAAGGAUGUAUAAUUCAAUCAUCCUGAAAGAAUAAAUGAAAAUUCAUUGGGUUUUACUUUUAAGAAAUCUUUAGUAGGGAAGCCACCCCAUGGUGUGUUGUGGAGGCCAUCCAGUGUUUACACCCCUUCCGGGAUCUAGUUUGUCUUUUAUCAGCCCCUGGCUUCUCUGCGGCCUCAGAUGGCCACUUCCUGCCCGAAUUCUCAGAACCUGCAGGUCCCACUAUUGAGAGUGAUGAAGUCUCAUGUGAUCCAGAGGGAGGCCUGUGUCACUCUGUGAGGUUCUCAGUGUUUGCUUCUAAUGCCAUCAUUUUAUAUAUAUAUAUAUUUUUUUUUUCAGGCAGAGUGGACAGUGAGAGAGACAGACAGAGAGAAAGGUCUUCCUUUUCUGUUGGUUCACCCCCCAAUGGCCGCUGCCACCAGCAUGCUGCGCCUGGCGCACCGCACUGAUCUGAAGCCAGGAGCCAGGUGCUUCUGGUCUCCCAUGCGGGUGCAGGGCCCAAGGACUUGGGCCAUCCUCCACUGCACUCCCUGGCCACAGCAGAGAGCUGGACUGGAAGAGGAGCAACCGGGACAGAAUCUGGCGCCCUGACUGGGACUAGAACCACAGGCAGCAAUUAGCCUAUUGAGCUGUGGUGCUGGCCCAUCAUUUAUUUUAAGAUUUAUUUUAUUUGAAAGAGUUACAGAAAGAGGUAGUGGCAAAGAGAGGUCUUCCAUCUGCUGGUUCACUCCCCAAAUGGCUGCAGCAGCUGGAGCUGGGUUAAUCUGAAGCCAGGAGCCAGGAGCUUCUUCCAGGUCUCCCACAUGGGUGCAGGGGCCCAAGGACCUGGCCAUCCUCUCCUGCUUUCCCAGGCACAUUAGUGGGGAGCUGGAUUGGAAGUGGAGCCGCUGAGACUUGAACCAGCAGCCUUAUGGGAUGCUGCUGCUGCAGGCUGGGGCUUUAACCCACUGCACCAUGGCAUCGGCCCCUCUAGUGCCAUCGUUUUAAGGACACACUCAUCUAAAAGUGUGCUGUGCAAGCCGUGGAGACGCACUGCACUCAGGAUUUCCACCUCAGCAGGGCCAGUCUGAGAUCAGCAGGUAACUCCUGGGUUGCCCCACGCAAAAGUCACCAUGAUAGAAGGGGAAUUUUCUCCUGCUCAAUCUAUAGGUAAAAUUUUUGCAGGAUACGCUGAAUCUGUUAAAGUUUGCCCCAUUUCAAGAAUGCAUGGGGAUCACAAACAACUGCAAAGUAUCUGAUUCUUGUCUUUUUAUGAUUUGUUUGAGGGAGCUGGAGUUAAUAUAAGACACACAAAGACAAAUGGGGGCGGGGGUCAAGACCAGAUGGAAGUCCCCAAGUGGGUGACCCCUGCUUUGAUGGAACUGUGCUGUCUGAUGGCACCACCCAAAGACUUCUGGGAAACGGGAGUGUGCUCCCUGGCAGUGUGCAUGGGAAAGAGCUCUGCAGUUAGUAACAUAACCAGUCUAUUUGUCAAGUCCCCUGCUUUGUACCUGUGGCUAAGAACACAUCCCUUGAAUGGAUGCAUUUAGGGUUUCUAUCCAACCAGUAAUCAGGGAUUGGAGAAGGUUCUGGAUGCUAUUUUUGAACACAGAAUAAUAAGCAGUCAUUUAUGAUGCUGAGGAGUAUAUUUAUUGAUAGGAUGAAAGAUAGUCCCAUUAUCGUUAAGUUUUCAUAUGUAGGAUCUGCACCGGUGUAAGCCCAUUUGCCACACAUAUAUUUAGAUAAAUGCAUGGGCGGGGUGGAGAGGCUGAAAGGCCUCUGCCACAGUGGUGAUCUCUGGUAGAAUCCAUGUGGAAUAAAUUCGCGGGGAGUUAGUUUGGGCCGGCUGGAAUUCUUACAAUAGCAGCUAUCUCUUUAACUGUCGAUUUGAUACGCCCACUUUCCCAGGACGCACCUGUCACAUCUGGGCCCAAGGUGCAUGCUAAGACCCCCACCCCGUUCCUUAUAAAUAGGGGUGACAGCGGGAAGGCACGCCUUUUCCGCCGCGGACCUGCCUGGGAGCCCCGUCUCCUUUUCGCUUUGUUCCUGCCGUGGACCUCACUUACAGCUACUGCUCCGGUUUUUGCUCCAUCCACUGUGGAAAGACUUGCUCUCGCGUGUACCUCUCCCGCCUCUCGGACGGACCUUCCCAAUUUCAGGUACGAUUUUUGGUUUCUCUUUCCUCUCUAGUUUAUGGCAAUUCCUUGGCCCACUCAUGGUGGGUAUCUGUCACGGUGGAGCAGCCUACCCGUGUGUGCGAGUGUGUAUUCUCUCACUGCCAAGAAAAUACUGUGCCUCUGGGCACACAGUACCAGCCUCUGGUUAGUGUUUGUGUUUCUGCGGGAGGCAAGGACCUAGGUUCAAAUUGGAUAUAGUCCUUGCAGACAUCGUAAUGGCAAGCCAGUAGCCAGAAGUGCGUCACCCCCAGACGGCAGUGGGUUGCCCCUUGGUGCAGUCUUCCAUCUUUAAGAGAAGCCCUGUGGUGGAAACCAGUUUGCAGUGUAAAGAGUUUCUUCUCGUUUCUGUGUUCGGAGUUUUGGUUGUUUUGAAUCGUGAGCGUGCGUACAUCUGUUGUCGCGGUAGCUGUCUGUCGUUUAUGCGCCUUCAGCAGCAGGGUGCUUCCGGGGCUGUCGAGCGAGGCCGACACAUUGGUUCUUGGCUUUGGGCCGUAGCUACUCGGUUACACGCGGCUGACCCCGCUUCAUCCUCCUCAUUGUCGUCUUUUCACCUGUGGCUCCUUCAUUCCUCCCCUCUGCUUAAUGGAAGCGGAGGAGCAAAGGGCCACUUCUGCUGUCCAGCAGCUACAUCCGGUUGCAAGGGGAGGGAUUUCCUGCCGUGUUAGACGUUUGGCUGCAGAGGAGGUGGGACUUCCUGCCGUAGCAGAAGUAGGGUUUGCCCUUGCAGCUCAGAACAGUAGGCCAAGGUCUGCGUUUGGGCAGCAGCCAGCCUACUCACAGUUGGGGCUUGAUAGCUGCAGCGCCCUCCCUGCUCUGGUACAUCUAGUAGCUGUGAGGAAGGAGGCUUUUGGUUCCUGGCAUACAAAUGUAGCUUCCGCUAACCAGACGGAACCUAGCAUUCCAUACACUGUCAAGUGUUCCCUCACUGCGGUGCUCAGCUUUAAGAAAUGCAAACGCUGGUAUUUCUCAGCUCCAACAUCUGAAGAUGCUUGGCUGCUAGUACCACCCUGGAGCAUAGGGGUUCAAUGCCUCCUAGAGGUUGAAGAAUCUGGUGGCAGCAUUGAUGGCUCCCACAGCAUUGGAGGCCCUGGGAAGAGGCCCCUAUCAUAGACCAUCUUCCCAGGAGACUUGGUUUUGUUAAAGACUUGGAGAGCAGGCUCCUCUUCUGACCUGUUACAGCCUAAGUGGAAGGGACCUUAACGUGCUUCUGAGCACUCCCACUGCAAUUCAAUUACAAGUUUUCCAAGCUGGGCACCUGUGUCAAGACUUUAGCUGUUACCUCUUGAGUCUUCACAGGUUCAAGCAGAGGAUAAGGCUGCCUACUUUAAUGAGCCAACUGAAGACCUCAGGUACCUCUUCAAAAUCAAAAAGUUGUGGAAACCUGGACAAGUAUUUCACCUCCGUCUACCUCCGUUUCUUCACCUGCGAAAUGGGAGUGAGGCUUAAUACGCGCAAAGUCCAGCUCAGCUCAGCUCAGCUCAGCAUCACCGAGGGAGGAAGCAGGAAGGGAGGCCACUGUCUGCAAAGGCCCCUACACCGCCCACCUGGGAAACCUGUCCUCCUCCUCACUCUCACAGAAAUUAAGCAGCAGCUCUGGGGCCGGGCGUCUGGGCUGUCACAUUCACUUUCCGAACUGAGCCUCUAGCAGAGGUAGACCAUGGGGCUUGCUCUCACCUGGAAAGGAAUCAGCGCUUUGGAAUUGAGGCCCAGUUACCUUCACCUGCGCACAAGCAGACUCCCUGGUGCUGGGGAAGUGGGCUCUGACUCCGCAGAAGAACACAUCGUGCCAGAAGCAGAACACAGAAUCAAACCGUCGGAACGCGCACAUCCGUCUGUCCCGGACGUGUGGGCCGUGUGAACUGAAGAACAGAGGAGAAGGAAGAAGGAACACACAGCAGGAGGCGGACAGUGGAGUUUAUCUUCUGCCUUGGAGCGAAGCCGAAGUGUGCAGGUGGGAAGCAUCAGGAUGCCUGCAGCGUGCCUCAGAUACUCCCCAAGAAAGAGAAUAAUCAAGGUACCAAGGUUGCAAGCUCCCAGUGCCCAAGGAGCAGCUGGUACAAGAGUGGCUGCCUGCAGGGUGUUGAGGUCUCCGAGCCCGCAGUGAAGUUAGAAAGCUGAGAGUAUAAAGAUGCGGUAGACGAACCUAGCAGAAGACCACCGAGACCGCAGUGCUGUGGCCUUGUCCUGGGGUCCUCCUGCCCCUGGGGUCUGCCCCCCAGCCUUCCCCAUCAGGGGCUUCCCUACUGCACUCAGAAAUGAUGCGAUGCGUCGGGAUGAGUCACACGGACUUCACCUGCAACUGGAGCACACGUGAAGCGCCAUGUCUGUGUCCUACCGUUUCCUCAUGGAGCUCUGGUCUCCCCCAAGCCCAUGGAACCCACUCCCGGCAUCAGAGCAUCCAGAAACUCGGAGACACCGAUGAUAGCGUUUGCUUGCUGUUGGGGGCUUCUCUAACGUUUUUCCUACAAUGUUAAAAAUGUCCAUGGGAUGUCUGAUCCUGGAAGAAAUCAUGGGAACGCGCACACACAAGCAGGAAAUGCCCUUCUGUGGCUCCAGCACCGUAGCAGAGGGAGAGAACGCUCCGCGCCGGCAGCUCCGCAUCCACUCGGCCUCCUCCCCGGAGCCGGGCACAUCCGUGUUCUGCUCUGGGGAUGGUCUCCCAGGCCAUGGAACAUCAUUCCUGGGGGGCUGCCUGCCCACAUAUCUGCCUGCUCACCUGGAUGCCACGGGUGAUUUCAGUGUCCAGCCCAGGGAGCGUCCAGGACCGGAAACCCUGUGUUUCUUUCAUCCUGGGAGGGGAACCGUGGUGGGCUCUCUGAGUUCCCAUCACCCAGACCUCGGGACCAGCUCUGGAUCCUGGGUCUGCCGGAAGCCGGCGCUUCAGCUUUACUCUGAAUUCCGUGGCUGCAAGUUGGUUGCCCUGGUGUUCCCCACCCCGUGUGCAUGUGCUUUGCAAAAGUGGAGUCCCUUGAUCAAGGGCUGGAGACUGCUUCCCCUGCCCUGGUCCCUGGGGUCCUCGUGACGCCUUGGCCCACAGAACGCAGGGGAAGGGGUCGGCUGCCAGCUCGGAGCCUUGGCUCCAGGAUUCCUCCUGUGCUUCCACUCUCUCUCGGAAUCUUAACCCCCGGGCAGGCCGAGAGCGACUUGGGCUGCGGCAAGAUGAGAAGCAUCUAGCACCCAGGGGCUAGGGCCGCCUGCUGGACCCACAGCUGCCCUCAGAUACGUGGGGAAGCCCAGCCCACAUUACAGAGUAAACUGAACUGACAGGUCUAAGCCGCUAAGAUUGUGGCGGCCUGCUGUGCAGCAAUCACUAACUGAUGCUUGUAUGAACUUCCGCCUUCGCUCAGUAAGUUCCUUUUUUGGAGAAUUUCGUGAGCACCAACGAAGAACUCUCGUCCACACCUGGGAACCCAUCUCCGUGCUUCUGGCAGCACGCGCUCAGGCCGCGCGUCGGCUUUGGGAAUCCACUCUGCCUCACUUUGCAAGUCAUUUUGAGCAUCGUCCUCUAAGAAUAAGCUGUACAGGGUGAAGAAGGAAAGCCUCCCCUCUGCUGCGUUGGAGCCUCUGCCCCGGUCAGGUUUCCCGGUGACGCAGCCGUUGGCCAGCACGGUCCACUCAGCAGGAAGUGCCUUUAACCCGCUUCUCCGUGAGAUUAUUGCACAGAGCCAUGAUUAUUCCCCGCCUGGUGACCAAGAAAAGGACAGAGUCCUGCCUCAGGGGUGUUACUGUUUGCUUCUUUGGAGAGAGAGGAAAAAAUCAUUUUAUUUGGAAUGUUCCAUUCUUUUCAAAUUAAAACAUUCAUUUUGAUGCAAAGAAUCUUACAAAACAAGCAUGCAGAUAAGGCAUAGUAUGAAGAAACUGUGGAGGAAUUUCAAAAUGUUUUUGCACAAAAAUAAACUUAUCUUUUAAGUUAAUUUUUCCAUGAGCAUUUUGAAGUGUCUCAUAUAAGACUUGUGCAUGAAGAAGACAAAAAAGAGGUAAUUAUCUCCCAUAAUCUCAUUUUCUGCAUCUUUUUGCACCAAAAUAAAGCCAGCUCUUAAUUCCACCCCUGCAAACUCUCAGAAGCACUCCCAUGUUUUAGGAUUCAGGGUAGGCUCGGCCCCACAGUCUGUGGUCCCCAUUCCUUUGAAAAGUCCAUCACUGGGGCCAGCAUCACGCAUAGUGGGUGAAGCCACUGCCUGCAGUGCCAGCAUCCCACAUAGUUUCUGGUUCAAGUCCUGGCUACUACACUUAUGACCCAGCUCCCUGGUAAUGGCCUGGGAAAGCAGUGGAAGAUGGCCCAAGUGCUUGGGCCCCUGCACCCACGUUGGAGACUCAAAAGAAGGUCCUAGAUUCAGCCUGACCCGGCCCUGACCAAUGCAACCAUUUGGGACGUGAACCAGAAGAUGGAAAUGGAAGUGUGUUCUCUGCUCUGUCUCUGUCUCUGUCUCUCCCUCUCCCUCUCCCUCUCUGUAACUGCCUUUCAAAAAAGAAAAGACCAUCAUUAUUAUUCUCCAUGUCAGUUUUCACUUCUAUCUUAAAAAUAAACAAAGAGAAAGGUUGAGUUGAUAGUUUUUAUUAAUAACAUUGAGAUUUCUUUUGUUUUUUCUUUGGUGAAGUUGAUUACUUUUUUCUGGAUUGUUUAUCAUUUAAAAAAAAUUUUUUUUGGACAGGCAGAGUUAGACAGUGAGGGAGAGAGACAGAGAGAAAGGUCUUCCUUCCGUUGGUUCACCCCCCAAAUGGCCGCUACGGCCGGCGCACUGUGCCGAUCUGAAGUCAGGAGCCAGGUGCUUCCUCCUGGUCUCCCAUGCGGGUGCAGGGCCCAAGCACUUGGGCCAUCCUCCACUGCCUUCCUGGGCCACAGCAGAGAGCUGGACUGGAAGAGGAGCAACUGGGACAGAACUGGCGCCCCAACCGGGAUUAGAACCUGGGGUGCCGGCGCCGCAGGCGAAGGAUUAGCCUGGUGAGCCGCGGCGCGGGC